GACAGUGUGGUGCAGUGGUCUGAACGCUGGACUGUAACUCUGGAGACCAGGGUUCAAAUCCCUGCUCAGACA
Molecule: non-coding RNA, 72 nt
Organism: Phrynosoma platyrhinos (Desert horned lizard)
Lineage: Eukaryota; Metazoa; Chordata; Lepidosauria; Squamata; Phrynosomatidae
Source: the annotation of a GenBank genome assembly